GUACAUAAUUUUAGAUAUAUUCAUUUUUUAUUUAUAAUGAGUAAUUACAUUUAAGUCCUUCUUCACACGCUUUUUCAUAGCGCCUUCCGCUUAGUAUCGUAACUCGCCUAAUCUUCUAGAUAGUCUGCACCUUGAUCUGUAAUGAAGUUAUUUACUAUAUGAUAAUAUAUUAUAUAUUAUCCGGUGACGACGGCAUACAAAAUAUUACAAGAAGUAGAUUACCUUGGUGGUUAUCAAUUAUUUGGUAAGUUCCCCUAAAAUUUAAAAUUACCGCCAUGCUAUUUGAGUUUUAACCAACUAGGUCUUAGUACUCAGUGUUUUUAUUUGAGCAUUGUAUAAAAGGGUAUCUAAUCCUUGUUUAUGGGCAAUGUUUAUAUAUAAUUAGGCUUAAUGGGGGUUAUAAAUAAUAUUUCACCAAUAUAUGUGCUGUAAGUUAAUUACACUUUCGUUUGUUCAUUACUAUAGAAGUCUGACCGCGACUGCUGGCACUUUUUAAGUCAUAGUAUAUAUAAGUGGUUUAAUCUUACUUUCGUAAGUUAAUAAAUUCUCUUGCCUGGUUUUAUCCUAAAAGUACCAUAAGUAUCCUAUUUUAUACAAACAUAUCACUAU
RNAcentral lists this ribosomal RNA (609 nucleotides) under Euhadra senckenbergiana. RNAcentral describes it as "partial 12S ribosomal RNA". Lineage: Eukaryota; Metazoa; Mollusca; Gastropoda; Stylommatophora; Camaenidae. The record is from RNAcentral.